UCGAGAAUAUUCCACAAUGGGCGAAAGCCUGAUGGAGCGACGCCGCGUGCAGGAAGAAGGUCUUCGGAUUGUAAACUGCUUUUCUAUGGGAUGAAGUUAUUGACAGUACCAUGGGAAUAAGGGGUUGCUAACUCUGUGCCAGCAGCAGCGGUAAUACAGAGACCCCGAGCGUUAUCCGGAUUUACUGGGCGUAAAGCGCGGGUAGGAGGUUUGGUGCGUCUAUUGUAAAAGCUCUUCGCUCAACGAAGAAUAGGCAAUAGAUACGGCCAAACUAGAGGACGUCAGAGGUUAAUUGGAACACACGGUGUAGGGGUGAAAUCCGUUGAUAUCGUGUGGAACACCAAAGGCGAAGGCAAAUAACUGGGACGUUUCUGACUCUAAACUGCGAAAGCGUGGGGAGCAAAAAGG
RNAcentral lists this ribosomal RNA (408 nucleotides) under uncultured bacterium. RNAcentral's name for it is "bacterial SSU rRNA". It matches the Rfam family "Bacterial small subunit ribosomal RNA", at positions 355 to 776 of the family's 1533-position model. The record is from RNAcentral.